UACCUCUUUCUCACGCGUUGUUCGGAUUCAUUGGGCGUAAAGGGUGCGUAGGUGGCGCCGUAAGUCAGGUGUGAAAUUUCGGAGCUUAACUCCGAAACUGCAUUUGAUACUGUGGUGCUUGAGGACUGGAGAGGAGACUGGAAUUCACGGUGUAGCAGUGAAAUGCGUAGAUAUCGUGAGGAAGACCAGUGGCGAAGGCGGGUCUCUGGACAGUUCCUGACACUGAGGCACGAAGGCCAGGGGAGCAAACGGG
This 253-nucleotide ribosomal RNA is filed under the name uncultured prokaryote. RNAcentral describes it as "partial 16S ribosomal RNA". It matches the Rfam family "Bacterial small subunit ribosomal RNA", at positions 524 to 776 of the family's 1533-position model. The record is from RNAcentral.